RNAcentral lists this ribosomal RNA (771 nucleotides) under uncultured Providencia sp. RNAcentral's name for it is "bacterial SSU rRNA". It matches the Rfam family "Bacterial small subunit ribosomal RNA", at positions 723 to 1502 of the family's 1533-position model. Lineage: Bacteria; Pseudomonadati; Pseudomonadota; Gammaproteobacteria; Enterobacterales; Morganellaceae. The record is from RNAcentral.
GGCCCCCUGGACAAGACUGACGCUCAGGUGCGAAAGCGUGGGGAGCAACAGGAUAGAUACCCUGGUAGUCACGCUGUAACGAUGUCGAUUUGGAGGUGUUCCCUUGAGGAGUGGCUUCCGGAGCUAACGCGUAAUCGACGCCUGGGGAGUACGGCCGCAAGGUUAAAACUCAAAUGAAUUGACGGGGGCCCGCACAAGCGGUGGAGCAUGUGGUUUAAUUCGAUGCAACGCGAAGAACCUUACCUACUCUUGACAUCCAGAGAAUUUAGCAGAGAUGCUUUAGUGCCUUCGGGAACUCUGAGACAGGUGCUGCAUGGCUGUCGUCAGCUCGUGUUGUGAAAUGUUGGGUUAAGUCCCGCAACGAGCGCAACCCUUAUCCUUUGUUGCCAGCACAUUAUGGUGGGAACUCAAAGGAGACUGCCGGUGAUAAACCGGAGGAAGGUGGGGAUGACGUCAAGUCAUCAUGGCCCUUACGAGUAGGGCUACACACGUGCUACAAUGGCGUAUACAAAGAGAAGCGACCUCGCGAGAGCAAGCGGAACUCAUAAAGUACGUCGUAGUCCGGAUUGGAGUCUGCAACUCGACUCCAUGAAGUCGGAAUCGCUAGUAAUCGUAGAUCAGAAUGCUACGGUGAAUACGUUCCCGGGCCUUGUACACACCGCCCGUCACACCAUGGGAGUGGGUUGCAAAAGAAGUAGGUAGCUUAACCUUCGGGAGGGCGCUUACCACUUUGUGAUUCAUGACUGGGGUGAAGUCGUAACAAGGUAACCA